Molecule: ribosomal RNA, 254 nt
Filed under: uncultured microorganism
Description: partial 16S ribosomal RNA
Rfam family: Archaeal small subunit ribosomal RNA
Source: RNAcentral
CACCGGCGGCUCGAGUGGUGGCCACUUUUAUUGGGUCUAAAGCGUCCGUAGCCGGCUUGGCAAGUCCCCUGGGAAAUCGGGCGGCUUAACCGUCAGGCGUCCAGAGGAUACUGCCAGGCUUGGGACCGGGAGAGGUGAGAGGUACCUCAGGGGUAGGGGUGAAAUCUUGUGAUCCCUGAGGGACCACCAGUGGCGAAGGCGUCUCACUAGAACGGGUCCGACGGUCAGGGACGAAAGCUGGGGGCACGAACCGG